This 254-nucleotide ribosomal RNA is filed under the name uncultured bacterium. RNAcentral's name for it is "partial 16S ribosomal RNA". It matches the Rfam family "Bacterial small subunit ribosomal RNA", at positions 524 to 776 of the family's 1533-position model. The record is from RNAcentral.
UACGAAGGGGGCUAGCGUUGCUCGGAAUCACUGGGCGUAAAGGGUGCGUAGGCGGGUCUUUUAAGUCAGAGGUGAAAUCCUGGAGCUCAACUCCAGAACUGCCUUUGAUACUGAGGGUCUUGAGUAUGACAGAGGUGAGUGGAACUGCGAGUGUAGAGGUGAAAUUCGUAGAUAUUCGCAAGAACACCAGUGGCGAAGGCGGCUCACUGGGUCAAUAUUGACGCUGAGGUGCGAAAGCGUGGGGAGCAAACAGG